UUAUACAACAUUUUCACGAAU
Molecule: non-coding RNA, 21 nt
Filed under: Caenorhabditis elegans
Lineage: Eukaryota; Metazoa; Nematoda; Chromadorea; Rhabditida; Rhabditidae
Source: RNAcentral